GACGAACGCUGGCGGCGUGCUUAACACAUGCAAGUCGAACGGAAAGGCCCUGCUUUUGUGGGGUGCUCGAGUGGCGAACGGGUGAGUAACACGUGAGUAACCUGCCCUUGACUUUGGGAUAACUUCAGGAAACUGGGGCUAAUACCGGAUAGGAGCUCCUGCUGCAUGGUGGGGGUUGGAAAGUUUCGGCGGUUGGGGAUGGACUCGCGGCUUAUCAGCUUGUUGGUGGGGUAGUGGCUUACCAAGGCUUUGACGGGUAGCCGGUCUGAGAGGGUGACCGGCCACAUUGGGACUGAGAUACGGCCCAGACUCCUACGGGAGGCAGCAGUGGGGAAUAUUGCACAAUGGGCGGAAGCCUGAUGCAGCAACGCCGCGUGCGGGAUGACGGCCUUCGGGUUGUAAACCGCUUACGCCUGUGACGAAGCGUGAGUGACGGUAAUGGGUAAAGAAGCACCGGCUAACUACGUG
This 468-nucleotide ribosomal RNA is filed under the name uncultured bacterium. Its description in RNAcentral is "partial 16S ribosomal RNA". It matches the Rfam family "Bacterial small subunit ribosomal RNA", at positions 28 to 507 of the family's 1533-position model. The record is from RNAcentral.